This 66-nucleotide transfer RNA is filed under the name Liposcelis paeta. Its description in RNAcentral is "tRNA-Met". The record is from RNAcentral. Lineage: Eukaryota; Metazoa; Arthropoda; Insecta; Psocodea; Liposcelididae.
UUUAAGAUAAGUUAUAUUAAAUAGACUACAAGGCUCAUAACCUUGAAGAAAUUUUUUCUUAUAAAU